CUAGAGAGGGAGAACCGAGCAGAGGAAGGUCUCUGCGUUUUCCGGCAAGUUUCCAUGUUUUCCGGCGACCUCUGAUUUCGAUUCAGGUAUAAAAGUUGGUCCAUUUGUUGAGCUUUACAUGUCUUUAUACUUGAAUCGAGAUUGGUUGAUGUUUGAAGAAAGUUAGGUUUUAGGCAGUGUUGACUGCCGUGAUUGCCACCGUGCACGGCGGCGGUGGAGGUGCUUCUAUUGUUUUCCGGUUUCAAAUUAAAUGUUGAAGUUGGAUUGAUGUGUGUUCUCUAUGCUAGAUAUAUAGUUUUGGUUAAGAAUUGAAGUUUGGAGUUUAGGUUACUGUAUUUGAUGUUUGGUGUUGGCAGUGGCGGUAGUGGUGGUGUUUCCAUUUGUGUUUGGUGUUUGCAGCAUCAGUUUACGGUUCACUUCUGAUUUUGGUUGUUCUUCUUGUUUUCCGGAUUAUGCUGUGAUUAGUGUACUGAACAUGAAGGACUGAUUUGUGAUGUUUGGAUUCUAGAAAUGGAGUUGGAAACAGUCGGGGAUUUCAUUAUGAAUUGUUAGUUUUGGUCAAGUUGUGAUUUGAUUUGAUAAUAAGGAAAGAAACAAUUGGAGUAUAUGGCUGCUGGAUUUCAAGACACAGAAGUAUGGUAAAUUUGGAUUAGUACUUGAAAUCAGUUCAAGACUCUGAAGGCUGGAAUCGAUGCAAUUGUGUGAAAACUUGUUUUGGGUGUACAUACCAAUUCAGAAUCAUUCUAUGAAGAAGUAAAUGGAAUUUAGAGACGAUGAAGAAAUCGGAGACAAAGAGUCUUGGGUGUCCAGAGUAAAUGUGUAGUUGGAUUGGUGGUUAGAGCAUAAUAUGGAUACGACGACAUAAUGGAAUAUGGAAUUGAUGAUCGAUUAAGGAUGGGACAUAUAUAGUCAAUCUAAGCAUGACUAAAGUAUGAUGAGACUUGCAGACUUGGUUCAUAAUGUAAUAAUAGAAGUGGGAGAAUGGAAUUUGGAUGAAGCAUAUUGUUAUUAAGGAUUUGGGUGUCCUUAGUAAAUUUAUGAAUUCGGUCAAGUUGAUUCAAAGGGAUUUGUCGAGUUUUGCGGAUUAAGGAUUCAGGGUGUCCUUAGUAGUUUUGAGGACAUGAUUGUAUCAAUUUAAAGUGUUCGACAAAUUUCUUGGAGUAUGUAUCUGGUACAAGGAAUGGAAAGCACGCUUGCAAGAUUCCAGAAGCAGAAGGAUAAGGAUUUCAGAAUGCGUGUCGUUGAGUUACUAAUUUUAGUUGGCGUCAGAGUCGACAAAGCUUGGAUUCUAGGUAGGGUCUCUCUUGGGGAACCUUUCUUUAAAUUGAUAAUUGAGUUAUAACUGAAAUCGUUGAUUUGUGUGACAUUGAUUGAUUAAUUCUUUAUUGUUAUUGUUUUUGAUAAAGUAUGUGAUAUCGCUGACUUACGUGAUCAAUGUUAUCGCUUUUCAUUAAAAGCAUGUGUUUGAUAUUGAAAUGCAAGUAUUGAUGUUCAAUUGAUAUGCAUAAUGCAUUGUGAGGAAUUGUGAGAUUAGUGUGAGGUUAGUGAUUAUGGAGAGGUGAUAACGAGAUCGAGAAAAUAUACAUUUUGUGUAGUUGAGUUUCCUCGUGAGGCAUCCAUGAAUCCAUGUUAGCCCACAAGUGCACAAAUGAGGGGAAUGUAGGCCCAAUCGAUGGCGGACGUCGAUAAAACAAUAUAAUCGGGUUUUGGGUUUGGAGACCAUGAAUAUAACAAGAUGACUAACAAAAGAGGUACCGGAGUUUAGAUAUUACUGAUUUGUUAGGUUGUAUAUUGGAGACAUCUACACGGUAUGGGACGUAUAAGCUCAUAUGUCUUCGAUGUAUGGACUAAUUAGCCAAUAAUUGAGUGGAGGGAGUUCAUUUGCAUAUAUGCAUCGAAUUGUCGUUAUAUACUUAAAUUAUUGUUUGAUGUUUGAUAACUUGAUUGUGCGACGUAGUUAAGAAUAGCCUAAAAAGGUUUGGCCCUUACGCUCACCUCUAUAGAUUAUUGUUCAGGUACGACAUGUCUUUCGAGAAGACUAACUGUGACGUUAGCUUACGUGUACAAGAGUCGAGAGGUACGAAAGAUUAGAAGUCAGAUAGAUAGUAAGACCUAUUUUACUGUUGUAAUUAGUUUUGUUAAUGUAAACGUUUUAUUUUCGACAAUUUUCUAAAAAUGUAUUUGAAUUUGUUUUAUUUUUUUUACAUUUCCCUCUCACGCCUCGGAUUCGGUGUUAAGUGCUUGGAAACCAUCGACACCGGAUUUGGGGGGUGACAGUACCAUAGUUAAUACCUAAUUGGUCUACCUACAUAAUAAGACCGAUUGUUUCCUCCACCAGCCUCGUGGUUGCAGCCUUCUUUAGCACCACAGGGAGCCAUACAAUUUCCACCCAAAUCCAAACAAAAUUCAAGGGUACCUGUGGGUUAUAUAUCAGAAAAUCUAUAGUAGUCGUUGAUGAUGAUGAUCAUGGCACAUUGAUAUGCCCAAGAACCGCUUCACUCGGAUAAUAUCACGUUCAUUGGUGAAUGUAAACAUGUAGUGGUUGCCUCUGGCUUGAACUUCCAUAUGUAAUUCCAGUCGAAAACUUCCAUAUGUAAUGGAAGAUGCCACAUAGAGCGCGCAACGCUCUUAAAAGCAUCAAACGACACCUCCCUGGCAGUGUUAAGACGUCCGAUUAGGUAGAACCAGGGAGCCACGAAGCCUUUUUUCGAGCAUAUGAGAUCGCCUAGGCCAACGUGUUCUUCCUGAUGUGAAAGAGAGACCUUGGAGAUUAAUCUCUCUGUCUGAGAAGCAGUGGAGGCCACCAUGAUUGCUAUAGAUGGUGAAGCAGCGCCUCACAACUGAAACCCUAACCCUAACGCAGAGAGAGAGAGAGAGAGAGGGAGAGUUUUGGGCAGCGGGAUUCUUCCUAGCUGAUACUAGAAUCACCGGAUCAAUUGGGUGAGGACUUGUAUGUGAAAUGAUUAAUUAAUUGAGUCAGGACAUUUUAAAUGCUAAGAUUACAUAUAUAUGGUAUACUUAGAAACUUGUUAUAAUCCAACAUGGUGCCAUGAGAAAAAAUAGAAGCAUUACUAAAAUAAAUAUGCAAGACAAAAGUGUCUUCGUCUUUCAAAGUUUCAGUUAUGAUGUCUACUUAUGGCUUAAACGAACAAUAAAAAAAAACUCACGGGUUCGAAGCUUUAAUAUAAUAAUUAGAUAUUAAGAAAGACUUGAGCAGUCGAGCUUAGGGCUCAAUAAAUAACUAGACGAUUUAGAAUACUAUAGCUAACCAGCAAAGAAAAUUGCGAAUGCAACUUGCACGGAUGAGUAAGAUAUAUAAUGUAUAUACUUGCUAUUUAGUAAACCAAGACUUGGGCUAAAUUUAAUCCAACUACUUUGUUUGGGCGAAUUGGAACAAUUAUAUGUUGAUACCCAUGUUUACCAACUUGUGUGAGAGUGAUAGCAAUUGCAAAACUAAUCAGGGUAGUUAAUCAUGAAUAAUGUGAUGAACGUGAUCGAAUUGAUAUAUAAUCCGUAGAACAGUUCAAAGUUUCAUUUAGUUUUUCAAACACCAUUUAACCCCUAUCUUAUUGCUAUUCGUUUUCCUGAAGCUGGUACUUAUUUUACUCCUCUGAUCCAGGUAUUAAGUAGGGAAGGAGUCCGACUGUGAAAUGUCAAAUGUGAACGAAAGAGAGAAGAGUCACGAACCAGUG
Molecule: long non-coding RNA, 3692 nt
Filed under: Fragaria vesca (wild strawberry)
Lineage: Eukaryota; Viridiplantae; Streptophyta; Magnoliopsida; Rosales; Rosaceae
Description: long non-coding RNA (FVES_LNC002342)
Source: RNAcentral